UUAGUUUUUAUUAAUGUUUGUACUUACUUGUUAGAUGUUUUAUGAUUAUGUUUUCGUUUCUUGUUAUGAACUAUUGUCCAACAUGGAAAAUAAACGUUCUACCAAAUAUUAUUGUUUUUUUACCUGUUACUAACGACUACACAAGGGGUUCAGCAAUUUCUUUUGGAUUUUUCAAGAGGUUCACAAGGAGAAAAAGAUUGGGAACCCCUGAACUAAACCAUUCUACAUUUAAUUACAAGCCUAGAGAAUUUUCCAGUAUACCUAACUAUAAUUCAAGUGAUCCAAUUUUCCCAUUCCAUGUUAUAUAUGUAUUAUCCAUCAGUGAUUAGUUGAGCCUCCCAUGGAUCAUGGAUCUCCAUCUUUUCUGUCUCUAGCCAUCCAAACUAUCUCUUCAAAUAUGUAUGGUCUUGAGUAUUUUUUAUAUUUGUUAUCCCUCUGGUUCUUGCUCAUCUACAUUGCCUUUUUUGUUCUUGAUUUUACCUUCCAACAUGAUUUUUCAGAAUUUGUAUAUGGUAUCCAUUCUACAUGUCCAUAUCAUUAUA
RNAcentral lists this long non-coding RNA (542 nucleotides) under Androctonus crassicauda. Lineage: Eukaryota; Metazoa; Arthropoda; Arachnida; Scorpiones; Buthidae. The record is from RNAcentral.